RNAcentral lists this long non-coding RNA (938 nucleotides) under Elaeis guineensis (African oil palm). RNAcentral's name for it is "long non-coding RNA (EGUI_LNC033027)". Lineage: Eukaryota; Viridiplantae; Streptophyta; Magnoliopsida; Arecales; Arecaceae. The record is from RNAcentral.
GCGGGCAUCUGAGGAGGAAAAAAAGAGAGCGGAGGGAGGGCAGCAAUUGAUGGAGAGAGAUAGGACCCGUUUGCCUAUUUGGGAUAGGUUUAGAAGAUUAUUGAAAGAAAGUAUACUGUAGGACACCAAACACUGAUGUGUCCAUAUUUUGGUGCUUACGUGUGCCAUGUAGUUAAAAAAAUUGACAAAAACCAUGACCGGCAAGGACUAUAAAGUCUGCGGAAGGGUUCAAUUAUGCAGCAGCAAGGGGAAUGUGUGGAGACCGGAUGGAUUUUUCAGCAGCAUCGGAGGUCAGAGAGGAGAUCAGUGAACUCCCUAUUUAAGUGGUGUGGCUGCAACUUCUCUUUUUCCAUCGUUCUGGAUUAUAGCCGCCAUAAUCCUCCUUUGAUAAGGUGAGUUUAGCGAGGGUCUUUGUCCGUUUAAUUUUUUUGAGAAUUUUUGAAUGCUCAUCAGACAUUCCAAGAGUUGUUGCUAGAUAAACAACAGCCAUCCAGCACCCGUGAUGCAUCAAUUAAAUAGAAGGGUUCAUCUUCGGCUCAACAUUAGAUAAUGGAUUUUUGUUUUCUCCUUUUGUUUUCUAUUUUAUUUUGCUCUUCAACUUCCAUUGGUGCAUUGGGGGUUGCUACUGGUGAUAUGAUAGUUCUUGGCAUCCAAUGCGAAAUCACAUGGAGGGGGUUGAAUGUAGGAAAAGGAGGUUUCAUGAAGGAAGAGAAUCUCUGAAUCACCGCAUUUUUUUUUAAAAAAAAGACAGUGGAACAUUGAGGAGAGGAAAAGUGGACAUGAAAAGGAAAUUGGGAAGGUGACUGGAGAAUUCGGUAGGGAUAAUGAUGAGGAAUGGGAAAAAAAUAUUUUUUUAGAAAAAAAAUUAUGCGGAUAGCCGCAUAAAGAAGGUGCAUGUCUGCAUCAUCACAGCCAACUCGAUAGCACGAGUCAAGGGC